CGGGGGGUCGAUGGAGGCGGUAUGGGGCGGUGUGGGGCGAUGUGGGGCGAUGUGGGGCGCGGGACCCCCCCGUCCUCCGCUGCUUCUCUCCCGCAGGACCUGCAGGAGAGAACGGCGGCGCUGCUGAGGAGGAGUGAAGCUGUGCUGAAUCAGCGCCUGCGGACCCCCCGGACCCACCCAGCUCCGCCCCUUUGUGGGCGUGGCCAACCGGCCGGUGGGCGGAGCCUGGAUGAGGACCCACUGCAGUGCUGGAGGGCAAACAGGAGGCGGGGCUUCACAGAAGCCCCUCCCCCUGUGACGUCAGCACGGAGGCGGAGCCAAUCGUUGGAGGCAGCGAGAGGGGCGGAGCCACGGCGGCAAAGGAGCCAAUCAGAUGAGACCGUCCCUCCAGCGCCGUGGGGCAGCGCCGUGGGGCAGCAAGCGGCCGCCAUCGAACUGCUGCAGGAAGCAAUGGAUUCGGAUGAGGCGGAGGCGGCGGAGGAUGCGGUGCUGCAGGCGCUGAGGGAUCGACGGCGGAGACUGCGGGGGAUGCUGAGGUGUGGGGCUGCCCCAUAAGUGGGGGUCUGACCCAUAAGUAGGGGUCUGACCCAUAAGUGUGGGUCCGACCUGUCCGUGGAAGCGCAGUUGGCCGCCCCGCCCCCCCCGCAGUAAAACCUCCGCGCCAUUUUUUGUCCUCAUUUCUCCGUUUUUCG
This 692-nucleotide long non-coding RNA is filed under the name Gallus gallus (chicken). The record is from RNAcentral. Lineage: Eukaryota; Metazoa; Chordata; Aves; Galliformes; Phasianidae.